RNAcentral lists this transfer RNA (84 nucleotides) under Escovopsis weberi. It matches the Rfam family "tRNA". From Rfam's summary of the family: Transfer RNA (tRNA) molecules are approximately 80 nucleotides in length. Lineage: Eukaryota; Fungi; Ascomycota; Sordariomycetes; Hypocreales; Hypocreaceae. The record is from Rfam by way of RNAcentral.
GGCCGUGUGGCUCAAUGGCAGAGCGUCUGACUACGAUUUGAUCUUUCAAUCAGGAGGUUGCAGGUUCGACCCCUGCCUCGGUCA